This 2599-nucleotide long non-coding RNA is filed under the name Nicotiana benthamiana. RNAcentral describes it as "long non-coding RNA (NBEN_LNC030208)". Lineage: Eukaryota; Viridiplantae; Streptophyta; Magnoliopsida; Solanales; Solanaceae. The record is from RNAcentral.
GAUUUUAUGUAGUAAUGAAACAAAUUAUAGGCAUGAUUUCUAUAUGCAGAUGCAGAAGUGGAAAACAUGUCGUGAUUGCAGAAAUAAAUACCUAAAGCAUGAUGUCUACCCACAUGCAUAACAUGAGUGACCCUUCCCUUUUCCCUAUAUACCCCAUAAACUCUUACAAAUUAUUACAACCUGGAUGAAUCAAGAAAAAUAAAAUUACAUCAGAAAUUAAACUACAAUCAAUGAGCCUAAUUUAGACUCAAGGUCUAACAAUAUGAGAUAAACCAACUUCCAGGAUCAGAUUUUUCAAAGCCUUUCUAUUUUUUGGGAUGUGUCAAAGUUUCCAAGAGCUUCAAGUGGACUCUGGGUUGUGCAUACACCCUAAUUAUAUUGCAGAAUUAGAUUAUAGUGCAGUGUGGAACCCAGCCCUCAAAUGUCCAAGUUCAGAGGGAACUCAAGGUCCCAAAGCAAGGCUCAUAGGAGGGGGCAGAACUUAGAGUCUAAGAGUAAGUAUAAGUGCAUAGAGGGGAGUUAGGGAAGGCCAUGGCAGGAUGGUGGUCAUGCCCAACAAUUAAGAGUGCUGGCACACCCCUGACCAACCUGUUAGCCAAAUCUUAGGUGUUAGGAUCCGUUGAGGAUCAGGUUCAGACCUAGGUAAUAAUUUGAAUAUUGCUAGGCCAUGAACCUCAACUCAAACAUAUAGAAGGGAGUAGUGGUAGGGAUUCACAAUAGAAACAGAUGCAAGAAAAGAACAUGGAUUGCCAAUACUGUACAUAAACAACAAAGUAGACUAGAGUAUGGCAACUAUAAAGUAAACACUUAGGGAGAAAGCUGAAAUCAAAGCUGAGACAUACCAGUUUCAGGGAAACAAAUAAGUAAAAUAGUAGUCCUGAAAAACCAAGUUGCAAGCAAACAGUACAAAGACCUCAGAAGAGCGUAGAGUAUUGUAAUUGAGACUGUGUGAAUAUUGAAUCUGAGUUGUUUAAUAAUCAAUGAGUGUCCAAGUAUAGAAGGGUCGUGCCCCUUUUAUAGUGCAGCAAACAAGUAAGAAAAGGUAAAGGAAUAGCAUUGAAAUCAAUCACCCUUUAAUUAAGGGACUCUAAUUUCAAAUGGGUAAAGACAAUUAAGAAAAGAAUUAAUCAGAAUAUUUUCUCAAGCAGUGCAAUAAAGGGUAAAUACAUAGGAGUUAUUUCAGGCAAAAGUCCAGUAGUACUUGGAUUAUGAAAAAUAAGGAAAGAAAAUCAAUCAAACAACUAGUGAAAUCAAAGUUAUAGGCUUUUAAUCGAAUGAACCAAGUCAGGUAAAGGUAAAGCAGGUCUAAUUAAAGGAAAUCAGUAGCAAUUAAUGACACCCCAUUAGUGGAAUUUAGAAUCAAUUAGUAGUUGGCAAAACCUUUUUUUAAAAGGAGAAUUUCACAUAUUUAAAGAAGAUAAAUCAAACAAAAGGGGUCGUCAUGUUACUUAGAAAAGAGAAUGAUAUUGAGAGGUUCAAAAUCAUAAGCAAAGGGAUACAAGUCCAGUUUGUAGACUCAAAGUAAGUAUGAGAGUCUAGGGUUCUAAUGCAGAACCCUAGUCCAAAUACCAAAUCAAACUUGCCAAAGAAAUACCCCAAUAUCCUAGGAUUUCAAAUCGAAUCAUACAUAGAGAUGAGAAGGAAAGAAAUUGAAACAGACUUCAAAGGUCUGUUUCAGAGCCUCAUAAGAAAGAAAACUAAUAUAAUAGCAGUUUUUGAAACAACAAAGAAAAAAAGCUGACUUAAGAGCAUAGAUGAGCAUAUUUUAGGAAAGUUGGAUCUUAAGCAAGUGAUGCAAACUUAAGCCACAGUAAACGGAACAUGCUUAACAAGAACACAAACAGACUUCAGCACAGUAAACGAAAAUAAAAAAAACUCAACAGAAAAACACAUAGAGUAGAAUAAUAACGGAAAGUAUAGCAAAGAGCAUGUAGGAAAACAUAGUAAUGAUUAACAUACAGUUCUAGUCUUAGAGGCACAGUAGAACAUAAAGCAACAUGAGUAUCAUUUAUGGUAAAAAAACUGAAAAGUAGAAGCACAACAUAUGCGUAGUAAAAGGGAAACACAUGAGCAUGAUAUAGACAAACACAUAUGAAGAAAAGAAGUAGAAUAAAAAAAGAUGUUUUUUGCAAAACCUUUUAGAAACCCUAAAUCGACGGCAAGUGAUUUUAAAAAGGGAAAAUUUUGGGAAAAUACUUUGAAUGUCCAGUAGAACACAAAUACGUUUAAGAUCUAAGAAAAAAAACAAAGAAAGAACCUUGAUUAUCUUAGGAUUUCAGAGAAAACCCUAGAAAUGAGAAAGGUUUGGAAAAGUCAGAUCUUGGGCCGAAGAGGUCAGGAAUCGGGCUUCUCGUGCUUGAAUAUGCCAGAGCAUGGCCGGAGAAGCCAUGGAAUCCAAAGAUCUCAGAAGAUCUGAAAGAGAACCAUCGAAGUCGAGCUUCAAAACCUUUAACACAAAAGGUCUAAUGGUGGAGAGGAGGAAUUAUAGACCAACCAUGGCCUGAGAAGCCAUAGAUUCUGGUGAAGGUACGGUUGAAAAGUGUAGGCGGUGGCUACGGUUCCGAAGAACCUUCGAGAGAGUUUGGGAGAGGAGAGUUUU